UCUGUAAGUUUUCUGAGAUUGUCUCAUCUAAAACUCCUUCUUCUACUUCUCAUCUUUGAAAGAAUUUAAAUCAAGAAGAAGGAGGCAUCUGAUCGACCAUCGAAGAAGGAUCAGCACAGUACUAGCAUACUGUGCUAAUUUUCUGGAUCAGGACCUCUGAUCAUGAUUUGAGGGCUCGAGUGGAUGACUCCUAGAGGCCGGAUGCAUGUGCGGCUUGCAACAUCAUCCUCAAGCCUGGAUCAGUAAAGUU
This 250-nucleotide long non-coding RNA is filed under the name Elaeis guineensis (African oil palm). RNAcentral's name for it is "long non-coding RNA (EGUI_LNC065195)". Lineage: Eukaryota; Viridiplantae; Streptophyta; Magnoliopsida; Arecales; Arecaceae. The record is from RNAcentral.